UUGACCUCGGAUCAGGUAGGGAUACCCGCUGAACUUACGCAUAUUGAUAUGCUGAAGGA
RNAcentral lists this ribosomal RNA (59 nucleotides) under Preussia sp. 8c_amb. Its description in RNAcentral is "partial 28S ribosomal RNA". Lineage: Eukaryota; Fungi; Ascomycota; Dothideomycetes; Pleosporales; Sporormiaceae. The record is from RNAcentral.